UGUGAUAAAAUACCACGACUAAAGCCUGAC
Molecule: non-coding RNA, 30 nt
Filed under: Mus musculus (house mouse)
Lineage: Eukaryota; Metazoa; Chordata; Mammalia; Rodentia; Muridae
Source: RNAcentral